AACGAACGCUGGCGGCAUGCCUAACACAUGCAAGUCGAACGAGACCUUCGGGUCUAGUGGCGCACGGGUGCUUAACGCGUGGGAACCUGCCCUUAGGUUCGGAAUAACUCCCCGAAAGGGGUGCUAAUACCGGAUAAUGUCUUCGGACCAAAGAUUUAUCGCCUUUGGAUGUGCCCGCGUUGGAUUCGCUUGUUGGUAGGGUAAAAGCCUACCAAGGCGACGAUCCAUAGCUGGUCUGAGAGGAUGACCAGCCACACUGGGACUGGGACACGGCCCAGACUCCUACGGGAGGCAGCAGUGGGGAAUAUUGGGCAAUGGGCGAAAGCCUGAUCCAGCAAGGCCGCGUGAGUGAUGAAGGCCUUAGGGUUGUAAAGCUCUUUUAACCGGGAUGAUAAUGACAGUACCGGGAGAAUAAGCUCCGGCUAACUCCGUG
This 433-nucleotide ribosomal RNA is filed under the name uncultured bacterium. Its description in RNAcentral is "partial 16S ribosomal RNA". It matches the Rfam family "Bacterial small subunit ribosomal RNA", at positions 29 to 507 of the family's 1533-position model. The record is from RNAcentral.